RNAcentral lists this ribosomal RNA (253 nucleotides) under uncultured bacterium. RNAcentral describes it as "partial 16S ribosomal RNA". It matches the Rfam family "Bacterial small subunit ribosomal RNA", at positions 524 to 776 of the family's 1533-position model. The record is from RNAcentral.
UACGGAGGGAGCUAGCGUUGUUCGGAAUUACUGGGCGUAAAGCGCGCGUAGGCGGCUUUGUAAGUUAGAGGUGAAAGCCCGGGGCUCAACCCCGGAACUGCCUUUAAGACUGCAUCGCUUGAAUCCGGGAGAGGUGAGUGGAAUUCCGAGUGUAGAGGUGAAAUUCGUAGAUAUUCGGAAGAACACCAGUGACGAAGGCGGCUCACUGGACCGGUAUUGACGCUGAGGUGCGAAAGCCAGGGGAGCAAACGGG